CCCGUAAUCGGAAUGAGUACACUUUAAAUCCUUUAACGAGUACCCAUUGGAGGGCAAGUCUGGUGCCAGCAGCCGCGGUAAUACCAGCUCCAAUAGCGUAUAUUAAUGUUGUUGCGGUUAAAAAGCUCGUAGUUGAAUUUGUGUUCCGCGCUGUCGGUUCACCGCCCGCGGUGUUUAACUGGCACGUCCGCGGAACGUCCUGCCGGUGGAUGCGUGGACCCUGUAUGCUUCCCCAUUGUGCGUGUGCAACUUCGGUUGUUACUGUAUGAUGUGGUGGGGUUGCAGGCGCUCUACCAUCCGACUCAAUAAUCCUGUCGCGGUGCUCUUAAUUGAGUGUCGAGGCGGGCCGGCACGUUUACUUUGAACAAAUUAGAGUGCUCAAAGCAGGCUAAAAUUUCGCCUGAAUACUGUGUGCAUGGAAUAAUGGAACAGGACCUCGGUUCUAUUUUGUUGGUUUUCGGAAACCCGAGGUAAUGAUUAAUAGGGACAGAUGGGGGCAUUCGUAUUGCGACGUUAGAGGUGAAAUUCUUGGAUCGUCGCAAGACGGACAGAAGCGAAAGCAUUUGCCAAAAAUGUUUUCAUUAAUCAAGAACGAAAGUCAGAGGUUCGAAGGCGAUCAGAUACCGCCCUAGUUCUGACCAUAAACGAUGCCAGCUAGCGAUCCGCCGACGUUCCUCCGAUGACUCGGCGGGCAGCUUCCGGGAAACCAAAGCUUUUGGGUUCCGGGGGAAGUAUGGUUGCAAAGCUGAAACUUAAAGGAAUUGACGGAA
This 770-nucleotide ribosomal RNA is filed under the name Microcharidius sp. 21 CA-2017. RNAcentral's name for it is "SSU rRNA". It matches the Rfam family "Eukaryotic small subunit ribosomal RNA", at positions 502 to 1161 of the family's 1831-position model. Lineage: Eukaryota; Metazoa; Arthropoda; Insecta; Coleoptera; Carabidae. The record is from RNAcentral.